ACGGGGGGGGCAAGCGUUGUUCGGAAUUACCGGGCGUAAAGGGCUCGUAGGCGGCCAACUAAGUCAGACGUGAAAUCCCCAGGCUCAACCUGGGAACUGCGUCUGAUACUGGAUGGCUUGAGUUCGGGAGAGGGAAGUGGAAUUCCAGGUGUAGCGGUGAAAUGCGUAGAUAUCUGGAGGAACACCGGUGGCGAAGGCGGCUUCCUGGACCGACACUGACGCUGAGGCGCGAAAGCCAGGGGAGCAAACGGGA
RNAcentral lists this ribosomal RNA (253 nucleotides) under uncultured prokaryote. RNAcentral describes it as "partial 16S ribosomal RNA". It matches the Rfam family "Bacterial small subunit ribosomal RNA", at positions 525 to 777 of the family's 1533-position model. The record is from RNAcentral.